This 432-nucleotide small RNA is filed under the name Oryza sativa Japonica Group (Japanese rice). RNAcentral describes it as "sRNA OsPUB30". The record is from RNAcentral. Lineage: Eukaryota; Viridiplantae; Streptophyta; Magnoliopsida; Poales; Poaceae.
UUGCCAAGAACGCGGUGGAAUUAGCUCGGACGCUCGAGAAGCUUUGAUGAAUUUCAUCCAAACUCCAAACAUCAAAUUUGUGCGAAUUUUGAUUCGGCGCCUCUUCGAAUCGGUGUUGGGCUCGGUGUACAAAGGUAGAAACAGCAAAGGUGAACCUUUUUUUGGGGUCUACUCUUCUCUUCUUUUUGGUUGGGUUCAUUUCCCUUCUCUUUUCAUGUGGUAGCAGCGUCGAAAGGAAGAAGAAGAAGAAGAAAAAAAAAUAAGUAGAAUUUAGUUCCUUUUUUUUUUGUUCAUAUGCUUAGAAAAACAUGGUCCUCUCAUCAUUUCACCCAGACCUUCUGUGGUGUUCUGUUCUGGAUUGAAUUCUGAAUCCCAAAAUCAUCCAAUCUGAAAUGUCGUAUGAUAUAUGAUACAUCUCAUGAUCAAGUGAUC